GACGGGGCCGCACAAGCGGUGGAUGAUGUGGUUUAAUUCGAUGCAACGCGAAAACCUUACCCACCCUUGACAUGUCCGGAACCCGAAGAGAUUUGGGAGUGCUCGCAAGAGAACCGGAACACAGGUGCUGCAUGGCUGUCGUCAGCUCGUGUCGUGAGAUGUUGGGUUAAGUCCCGCAACGAGCGCAACCCUUGUCAUUAGUUGCCAUCAUUUGGUUGGGCACUCUAAUGAGACUGCCGGUGACAAACCGGAGGAAGGUGGGGAUGACGUCAAGUCCUCAUGGCCCUUAUGGGUAGGGCUUCACACGUCAUACAAUGGUCGGUACAGAGGGUUGCCAACCCGCGAGGGGGAGCUAAUCCCACAAAGCCGAUCGUAGUCCGGAUCGCAGUCUGCAACUCGACUGCGUGAAGUCGGAAUCGCUAGUAAUCGUGGAUCAGCAUGUCACGGUGAAUACGUUCCCGGGUCUU
This 467-nucleotide ribosomal RNA is filed under the name uncultured Rhodocyclaceae bacterium. RNAcentral describes it as "bacterial SSU rRNA". It matches the Rfam family "Bacterial small subunit ribosomal RNA", at positions 912 to 1382 of the family's 1533-position model. The record is from RNAcentral. Lineage: Bacteria; Pseudomonadati; Pseudomonadota; Betaproteobacteria; Rhodocyclales; Rhodocyclaceae.